AACGAACCGCAAACCACAAAUCAAGUCACACCCACCUCAGCAUUAGAAGUGCACACCCGCCUAUCGAAUGUCGGAUGAUGAUAAGGCAACAAGUAGGUCUAGAGAAAUGAAAGCUAGUAGGUCUACUGCACCCAUGCAUGGAUGGAAAGAAUCAAUGGACCUGUGGAUAUAGGAUCCGGCCUUCUCAAGGGUCCUCGCGCAUUUACUAAAGAGCCAAGGGGUCUAGUAUGUAAGAAUCAAUGCCAGUCUCAAGUCAAGCACACUGCUGCCGCUUCCUGGCAUCUGGAAUGCCGGAAGGGUCGGAGGAACUUGCACCCACAGAACGUACACGUCGUGUCACUGACAGCCCACUCGAGUCUUGUAAACAGUAAGAAUAGUGCCCGCUCCUGCAGCGAGCCAAGAUACGGUAACCUCGAUACUUCUUUGUGUCUCACCGCGGUACGCGCACAGACAUUAAUCUGCGGGCUCCCUCUCCGCACUCCUUCUGUCACUCCCGUGCGUCAGGUCGUUUCCGACGUCGCCUCCACUCCAUCUCCUACGUCCCAUGACUCACCUGUAGCCCCAGGCAGCCCUGCGUCCAUUGGCACAGCGCCCCUCGCCACCUGCCACCCUCUCGCUCAGCAAAUGAACGCACGCACGAUAGCAAAACACCAGCAGUCCGUAGUAUGGCCAAGGGGGGCUGCCGGUUCCCCGGUCCCAUACAGUCACACAUACAUCUUAUUAAGAAACAUCAGCAGGGUUUAUUUGGCGAGUCUCAGUAGAGAAAUAGACAUCCCUACAUCACCCAAUGCGCAUGGCAAUAUCGCACUGAGUGCUUGCUUGCGCAAGCAAUCCAGCAUCAAGUGCGGCCUUUGACACUCCCGCUCGCUCACAUACGGUGUAUUAUCAGUACAGCACGGCAACACUCGCGCGAAUCAGUCCUGUCUCCUGCGGUAAACGCCGACUACCGUAGCACGCCCUGCUGUCGUGCUGACAAUGAGAAAUGUGCGGCGGCACAGCCCUGCUGGUUCACUUGAUAGUGAAUGGGCCCGAUCAGUAGCUAGUAGCGGCGAUUAGCCUAGCUGUCUAUACUUGCACGCAUACGCUGCGGGUGUGCCUCACAUACCAUAAUACCCAGUGCUGCUUCUUUCGCAUAUAACACACGCUCAGCAUGCCCUGCUGGCUCACUUCGAUACUGUGCCAUCCACACACGUACGUGUGACGAGCCCCUCUUGCGAACGGCCGCCGGCACCACAGCUGCGGCGGCUGCGGCUGCUGCUGCUCCUGCUGCUGCUACUGCUACUGCUGCAUCUUCAAAUGGCGAGGGCAGCAAGCCGCUGGCUGCAGGGCUCAUGCAGCUGACGGCGUAACACGGAAGCCAAACGAAACGGAGCGGCCCUUGCCGCUACCAGGCCGCCACCGCUGCCGGUGGCGGGAAGCAGCCGCACGCGCGCUCCAACGCGGCAAACUCCUCCAGCUCCCGCUCCUGCUCAGCCCACGCCGCCGCCGCCAGCUCCAUCGCCAGGCGCAGGCGCGAGGGCAUCACAGCUGACUGCCACUCAUCACCCUGCUGCACCGCCGCGAUCGGCGGAACGACACAGCUGCCCAUGCUGCUGCCGGCGGCGGUGCAGGCCUCCUUGUCAGCGCUAUGCUCCUCCACUGCCGCCUCCACCAACUCCACCUGCUGCGGCGUCUCACUGCCUGCCGCCGCCGCCACCCAGACCAGACUGCAGCUGCUGGCGCUGCGGCUGGUGCGGGCGCUGUCCGGCACGGCGCAGCAGCACGAGCUGAGCGGCGAGUCAGGCGCGUCCAGCCGCUCAGUGACGACGGCCACCUCCUGCGCCGCUUCGGCCGCCGCCGGCACGCACUCGCCCUGGGCCUCUGCUUUCCCCAUCGCCGCCAGCUCCGCCGCCAUCCAGGGCGACAGCGAGGCGAGGUAGGCGCCGAAAUCGCCGGCCUCCUCCGCCUCAACGUCAUCCGCCCAGCGGCGGCCGUUGGGGGUGCCGCCGGUGCCGCUGGCAGCUGCCGCCGCCGCCUGCUCCGCCAGGCCCUCCUUCAGCCAAUCUGCGAGCGACCCGAGGUCGAGCUCCUCCUCCGCCUCCUCAUGCGCCUCAACCUCAUCCGCCCAGCUACCGCUCGCGCCACCGCUGCUGCUAAUGCUGGCGCGAGGAGCAAUGCUGCUGCUGCUGCUGCUGCUGCUGCUGCUGCUGCUGCUGCUGCCGUCAGACUCUGACGCUGCCGCGGGCACGGCCGGUGCGGCUUCCGCCUGCUGCUGCUCGGCCGCCGCGAGCUCCGCCAGUCCCUGCUUCACCCAGGGCGUCUGCUCAAAGAGGUCGCUCAGGUCGAGUCCGUCAGCCUCAUCCUCAUCAUCAUCGCCCCAUCGCGGCGUGGUCGAGCUGCGGUCGACGGUGGAGGUGGAGAUGGGGCUUGCAGCGGCGGCGGGCUUGGUCGGGGCGGCGGGCUUGGUCGGAGCCGCGAGCUUGGGCACCUUGGGCAGGCCGGGCGGCUUCUGCGGGCGCCAGUGGUUGUCGUAGGCAUGGCAAAGCUGGCAAGGGGCGCUCCUGCAGCCAGCAGAUAGGCUGGCAUAGCACCAGCGCAUGCAGGACUUGUGAGGAAAGCAGCAGGCGCUGGGGGCGGGCUCCUGCUGCUCCUGCUGGUGGGCGGCGGCGGAGGGCUCGCUCUCAUCAGAGCCGUGGCCUUGGCUGCGGGGCGUGUGGCGCCAGGCGUCCUGUGCAAACGAGAUCGGGGGAAAAGGAUAGAUGGGGGCGGACAAGCCGUGAGUGCACGGGACGAGGACAAGGGUCGGGGCGCAGAGGGCGGGAGAAAGGGCCGGGGGUCGGGGGCUCGGGCCCCGGCAAAAAAGUCAGGCGCACCGGAAAGGCACGCGCUUUCGGUCAAAGCUGUUGACCGACGCAUUUUACGAGACAAUACAUGCAGCAAUAUGCAGCCAGUGUGGCCGCAGCAGCGCAAGAAGGAACGCCGAGGAAGCCGAGCGCACUACUGGCCCGAAAUCUGCAACGCUAUCUAGCCCGCAUCAGAAGCCUAAUGCUUUGCAUGUGGCAUCGGAUACCCAUUGCAGCUGCUCAAGGCUCAAAAUGGCCGUGCCCGAACAUGAAUGGUGCUCACCUGCAUCGGUCGGCUCGGCUCGAAGUCAAGCCCCGGUGCACUUGCGAUUGACCGUGAUGUGGCCAUAGUAGCUCUCGACCGCACCAAGCACUCUUCGCGCGCAGAACUCGAUUCUGCUGCUAGCGCAAUUCUUUCGCUUGACGGAAACUUUUCCUCGCGGUGCCCGGGAGGGAUUCGCGCUAGGAGCUGCUAGCUCGUGACAGUGGUGGUGCUUGCCGCAGCUUUCAUGCGCAUGCGGUGGAAAUCGAGAGAGGUCGCGAACAGCCCUAGAAAUGCUCUUCUUUGCCGUCAGGUGCUCGUAGCUAAGCAGUGGGCGUAAAAGCUGUUUGUGAGAUGUCUUUGCAUCUGUUGAAUGUGCAAUAUGAGCACAGCGCGAAGCUUUUAUCCAGUGGCGGGGACAGGGUCUCGGGCGCCCAUGCAGGCGACACGCGCCCAAUCCCGAGCCUCCCACUCCUCGCCUGUACCUUGUCCCUGGACCCGCGCCAUCCGUGUCCCGCUGUUCAAUUCCCGCGUUUCAUACCAGCUCCCCUCCCCUGCGUAGGCCGGUAACCCCUGAUCCCGCCGCUGCCGGGGAUGCAGCCGUGCAGGAUGAGGUUGACGGCUGGGGAAGUUGGUGUGGGGAAGUUGGUGUAGGUUGGCGGUGAUCCAGCGGGGUGGGUGCCGAUGUGCUAUAGCGGGCGCGAGGCUGUACACGUCAGGAUCUGGCGAGUGUACUGCUCAAGCUGGCUUUGUGAUGGCCCCCAAGCGUAGGUGAGGUAGGCGCACGGCGGUGACAAGGCAUGCGGCCAGUGGAACUGCCUUACAGUUACAGCCCGCCCAAGCGCGGUUGUUGCCCUGCCAUGAUUUCCGUGCAGUCUGCUAGCUUCGGCAGGGACGGUGCCCAUCAGUUCCCGAUGUUGACAAACCAUGCAUCCAGCCGCCCACACGUGCUCUUCGUUCGUCACAUACCGUACUCGAACUCCAAUGUCCACAGAGCGUGUGCGCGAAAUCCACACGCCACACACGCAAGUGACAGCCGCCCGUCCUUGCACAGCAAGCAUCUCCGCGCACGGUCGCACGCUUCUCUAGCCCCAACGAACCGCAAACCACAAAUCAAGUCACACCCACCUCAGCAUUAGAAGUGCACACCCGCCUAUCGAAUGUCGGAUGAUGAUAAGGCAACAAGUAGGUCUACUGCACCCAUGCAUGGAUGGAAAGAAUCAAUGGACCUGUGGAUAUAGGAUCCGGCCUUCUCAAGGGUCCUCGCGCAUUUACUAAAGAGCCAAGGGGUCUAGUAUGUAAGAAUCAAUGCCAGUCUCAAGUCAAGCACACUGCUGCCGCUUCCUGGCAUCUGGAAUGCCGGAAGGGUCGGAGGAACUUGCACCCACAGAACGUACACGUCGUGUCACUGACAGCCCACUCGAGUCUUGUAAACAGUAAGAAUAGUGCCCGCUCCUGCAGCGAGCCAAGAUACGGUAACCUCGAUACUUCUUUGUGUCUCACCGCGGUACGCGCACAGACAUUAAUCUGCGGGCUCCCUCUCCGCACUCCUUCUGUCACUCCCGUGCGUCAGGUCGUUUCCGACGUCGCCUCCACUCCAUCUCCUACGUCCCAUGACUCACCUGUAGCCCCAGGCAGCCCUGCGUCCAUUGGCACAGCGCCCCUCGCCACCUGCCACCCUCUCGCUCAGCAAAUGAACGCACGCACGAUAGCAAAACACCAGCAGUCCGUAGUAUGGCCAAGGGGGGCUGCCGGUUCCCCGGUCCCAUACAGUCACACAUACAUCUUAUUAAGAAACAUCAGCAGGGUUUAUUUGGCGAGUCUCAGUAGAGAAAUAGACAUCCCUACAUCACCCAAUGCGCAUGGCAAUAUCGCACUGAGUGCUUGCUUGCGCAAGCAAUCCAGCAUCAAGUGCGGCCUUUGACACUCCCGCUCGCUCACAUACGGUGUAUUAUCAGUACAGCACGGCAACACUCGCGCGAAUCAGUCCUGUCUCCUGCGGUAAACGCCGACUACCGUAGCACGCCCUGCUGUCGUGCUGACAAUGAGAAAUGUGCGGCGGCACAGCCCUGCUGGUUCACUUGAUAGUGGGCCCGAUCAGUAGCUAGUAGCGGCGAUUUGCCUAGCCGUCUAUACUUGCACGCAUACGCUGCGGGUGUGCCUCACAUACCAUAAUACCCAGUGCUGCUUCUUUCGCAUAUAACACACGCUCAGCAUGCCCUGCUGGCUCACUUCGAUACUGUACCAUCCACACACGUACGUGUGACGAGCCCCUGUUGCAAAAGGCCGCCGGCACCACAGCUGCGGCUGCUGCGGCUGCUGCUGCCGCUGCUACUGCUGCAUCUUCAAAUGGCGAAGGCAGCAAGCCGCUGGCUGCUGGGCUCAUGCAGCUGACGGCGUAACACGGAAUGAAGCCAAACGGAACGGAGCGGCCCUUGCCGCUACCAGGCCGCCACCGCUGCCGGUGGCGGGAAGCAGCCGCACGCGCGCUCCAACGCGGCAAACUCCUCCAGCUCCCGCUCCUGCUCGGCCCACGCCGCCGCCGCCAGCUCGAUCGCCAGGCGCAGGCGCGAGGGCAUCACAGCUGACUGCCACUCAUCACCCUGCUGCACUGCCGCAAUUGGCGGAACGACACAGCUGCCCAUGCUGCUGCCGGCGGCGGUGCAGGCCUCCUUGUCAAUGCUCUGCCGCUCCGCUGCCACCUCCACCGCCUCCACCUGCUGCGGCGUCUCACUGCCUGCCGCCGCCGCCACCCAGACCAGACUGCAGCUGCUGGCGCUGCGGCUGGUGCGGGCGCUGUCCGGCACGGCGCAGCAGCACGAGCUGAGCGGCGAGUCAGGCGCGUCCGGCCGCUCAGUGACAACGGCCACCUCCUGCUCCGCUUCGGCCGCCGCCGGCACGCACUCGCCCUGGGCCUCUGCUUUCCCCAUCGCCGCCAGCUCCGCCGCCAUCCAGGGCGACAGCGAGGCGAGGUAGGCGCCGAAAUCGUCGGCCUCCUCCUCCUCGACGUCAUCCGCCCAGCGGCGGCCGCUGGGGGUGCCGCCGGUGCCGCUGGCAGAUCCCGCCGCCGCCUGCUCCGCCAGGCCCUCCUUCAACCAAUCUGCAAGCGACCCGAGGUCGAGCUCCUCCUCCUCCUCCGCCUCCUCGUGCGCCUCGACUUCAUCCGCCCAGCUACCGCUCGCGCCACCGCUGCUGCUAAUGCUGGCGCGAGGAGCAAUGCUGCUGCUGCUACUGCUGCUGCUGCUGCCGUCAGACUCUGACGCUGCCGCGGGCGCGGCCGGUGCGGCUUCCGCCUGCUGCUGCUCGGCCGCCGCGAGCUCCGCCAGUCCCUGCUUCACCCAGGGCGUCUGCUCAAAGAGGUCGCUCAGGUCGAGUCCGUCAGCCUCAUCCUCAUCAUCAUCGCCCCAUCGCGGCGUGGUCGAGCUGCGGUCGACGGUGGAGGUGGAGAUGGGGCUGGCAGCGGCGGCGGGCUUGGUCGGGGCGGCGGGCUUGGUCGGAGCCGCGAGCUUGGGCACCUUGGGCAGGCCGGGCGGCUUCUGCGGGCGCCAGUGGUUGUCGUAGGCAUGGCAAAGCUGGCAGGGGGCGCUCCUGCAGCCAGCAGAUAGGCUGGCAUAGCACCAGCGGAUGCAGAACUUGUGGGGAAAGCAGCAGGCGCUGGGGCCGGGCUCCUGCUGCUCCUGCUGGUGGGCGGCGGCGGAGGGCUCGCUCUCAUCAGAGCCAUGGCCUUGGCUGCGGGGCGUGUGGCGCCAGGCGUCCUGUGCAAACGAGAUCGGGGGAAAGGAUAGAUGGGGGCGGACAAGCCGUGAGUGCACGGGACGAGGACAAGGGUCGGGGCGCAGAGGGCGGGACAAAGGGCCGGGGGUCGGGGGCUCGAGCCCCGGCAAAAAAGUCAGGCGCACCGGAAAGGCACGCGCUUUCGGUCAAAGCUGUUGACCGACGCAUUUUACGAGACAAUACAUGCAGCAAUAUGCAGCCAGUGUGGCCGCAGCAGCGCAAGAAGGAAGGCUGAGGAAGCAGAGCGCACUACUGACCCGAAAUCUGCAACGCUAUAUAGCCCGCAUCCGAAGCCUAAUGCUUUGCAUGUGGCAUCAGAUACCCAUUGCAGCUGCUCAAGGCUCAAAAUGGCCGUGCCCGAACAUGAAUGGUGCUCACCUGCAUCGGUCGGCUCGGCUCGAAGUCAAGCCCCGGUGCACUUGCAAUUGACCGUGAUGUGGCCAUAGUAGCUCUUGACCGCACCAAGCACUCUUCGCGCGCAGAACUCGAUUCUGCUGCUAGCGCAAUUCUUUCGCUUGAUGGAGUUUCCUCGCGGUGCCCGGGAGGGAUUCGCGCUAGAAGCUGCUAGUUCGUGAUAGUGGUGGUGCUUGCCGCAGCGUUCAUGCGCAUGCGGUGGAAAUCGAGAGAGGUCGCGAACAGCCCUAGAAAUGCUCUUCUUUGCCGUCGAUAAGCUCAGGUGCUCGUAGCUAAGCAGUGGGCGUAAAAGCUGUUUGCGGGAUGUCUUUGCAUCUGUUGAUUGUGCAAUAUGAGCACAGCGCGAGAAGCUUUUAUCCGGUGGCGGGGACAGGGUCUCGGGCGCCCAUGCAGGCGACACGCGCCUAAUCCCGAGCCUCCCUCCUCGCCUUUACCUUGUCCCUGGACCCGCGCCAUCCGUGCCCCGCUGUUCACUUCCCUCGUUUCAUACCAGUUCCCCUCCCCUGCGUAGGCCGGUAACCCCUGAUCCCGCCGCUGCCAGGGAUGCAGCUGUGCAGGAUGAGGUUGACGGCUGUGGAUUGCAUUGGUUACAAGAGGGACCUGCUGACGCAGUUCACGAGCCAGUGACGUGUGGAAGUUGGUGUAGGUUGGCGGUGAUCCAGCGGGGUGGGUGCCGAUGUGCUAUAGUGGGCGCGAGGCUGUACACGUCAGGACCUGGCGAGUGUACUGCUAAAGCUGACUUUGUGAUGGCCCCCAAGCGUAGGUGAGGUAGGCGCACGGUGGUGACAAGGCAUGCGGCCAGUGGAACUGCCUUACAGUUACAGCCCGCCCAAGCGCGGUUGUUGCCCUGCCAUGAUUUCCGUGGAGUCUCUAGCUCCGGCAGGGACGGUCCCCAUCAGUUCCCGUAGUGGACCAUGCAUCCAGCCGCCCACACGUGCUCUCCGUUCGUCACAUACAGUACUCGAACUCCAAUGUCCACAGAGCGUGUGCGCGAAGUCCACACGCCACACACGCAAGUGGCAGCCGCCCGUCCUUGCACAGCAAGCAUCUCCGCGCACGGUCGCACGCUUCACUAGCCCCAACGAACCGCCUACCACAAAUCAAGUCACACCCACCUCAGCAUUAGGAGUGCACAUCCGCCUGUCGAAUGUCGGAUGAUGAUAGGGCAACAAGUAGGUCUAGAGAAAUGAAAGCUAGUAGGUCUACUGCACCCAUGCAUGGAUGGAAAGAAUCAAUGGACCUUUGGAUAUAGGAUCCGGCCUUCUCAAGGGUCCUCGCGCAUUUACUAAAGAGCCAAGGGGUCUAGUAUGUAAGAAGCAAUGCCAGUCUCAAGUCAAGCACACUGCUGCCGCUUCCUGGCAUCUGGAAUGCCGGAAGGGUCGGAGGAACUUGCACCCACAGAACGUACACGUCGUGUCACUGACAGCCCACUCGAGUCUUGUAAACAGUAGAAAUCGUGCCCGCUCCUGCAGCGAGCCAAGAUACGGUAACCUCGAUACUUCUUUGUGUCUCACCGCGGUACGCGCACAGACAUUAAUCUGCGGGCUCCCUCUCCGCACUCCUUCUGUCACUCCCGUGCGUCAGGUCUUCUCCGACGUCGCCUCCACUCCAUCUCCUACGUCCCAUGACUCACCUGUAGCCCCAGGCAGCCCUGCGUCCAUUGGCACAGCGCCCCUCGCCACCUGCCACCCUCUCGCUCAGCAAAUAAACGCACGCGCGAUAGCAAAACACCAGCAGUCCGUAGUAUGGCCAAGGGGGGCUGCCGGUUCCCCGGUCCCAUACAGUCACACAUACAUCUUAUUAAGAAAAAUCAGCAAGGUUUAUUUGGCGAGUCUCAGUAGAGAAAUAGACAUCCAUACAUCACCCAAUGCGCAUGGCAAUAUCGCACAGAGUGCUUGCUUGCGCAAGCAAUCCAGCAUCAAGUACGGCCUUUGACACUCCCGCUCGCUCACAUACGGUGUAAUAUCAGUACAGCACGGCAACACUCGCGCGAAUCAGUCCUGUGUCCUGCGGUAAACGCCGACUACCGUAGCACGCCCUGCUGUCGUGCUGACAAUGAGAAAUGUGCGGCGGCACAGCCCUGCUGGUUCACUUGAUAGUGAAUGGGCCCGAUCAGUAGCUAGUAGCGGCGAUUUGCCUAGCUGUCUAUACUUGCACGCAUACGCUGCGGGUGUGCCUCACAUACCAUAAUACCCAGUGCUGCUUCUUUCGCAUUUAACACACGCUCAGCAUGCCCUGCUGGCUCACUUCGAUACUGUGCCAUCCACACACGUACGUGUGACGAGCCCCUCUUGCGAACGGCCGUCGGCACCACAGCUGCGGCGGCUGCGGCUGCGGCUGCUGCUGCUCCUGCUGCUGCUACUGCUACUGCUGCAUCUUCAAGUGGCGAAGGCAGCAAGCCGCUGGCUGCUGGGCUCAUGCAGCUGACGGCGUAACACGGAAGCCAAACGGAACGGAGCGGCCCUUGCCGCUACCAGGCCGCCACCGCUGCCGGUGGCGGGAAGCAGCCGCACGCGCGCUCCAACGCGGCAAACUCCUCCAGCUCCCGCUCCUGCUCGGCCCACGCCGCCGCCGCCAGCUCGAUCGCCAGGCGCAGGCGCGAGGGCAUCACAGCUGACUGCCACUCAUCACCCUGCUGCACUGCCGCGAUUGGCGGAACGACACAGCUGCCCAUGCUGCUGCCGGCGGCGGUGCAGGCCUCCUUGUCAAUGCUCUGCCGCUCCGCUGCCACCUCCACCGCCUCCACCUGCUGCGGCGUCUCACUGCCUGCCGCCGCCGCCACCCAGACCAGACUGCAGCUGCUGGCGCUGCGGCUGGUGCGGGCGCUGUCCGGCACGGCGCAGCAGCACGAGCUGAGCGGCGAGUCAGGCGCGUCCGGCCGCUCAGUGACAACGGCCACCUCCUGCUCCGCUUCGGCCGCCGCCGGCACGCACUCGCCCUGGGCCUCUGCUUUCCCCAUCGCCGCCAGCUCCGCCGCCAUCCAGGGCGACAGCGAGGCGAGGUAGGCGCCGAAAUCGUCGGCCUCCUCCUCCUCGACGUCAUCCGCCCAGCGGCGGCCGCUGGGGGUGCCGCCGGUGCCGCUGGCAGAUCCCGCCGCCGCCUGCUCCGCCAGACCCUCCUUCAACCAAUCUGCAAGCGACCCGAGGUCGAGCUCCUCCUCCUCCUCCGCCUCCUCGUGCGCCUCGACUUCAUCCGCCCAGCUACCGCUCGCGCCACCGCUGCUGCUAAUGCUGGCGCGAGGAGCAAUGCUGCUGCUGCUACUGCUGCUGCUGCUGCCGUCAGACUCUGACGCUGCCGCGGGCGCGGCCGGUGCGGCUUCCGCCUGCUGCUGCUCGGCCGCCGCGAGCUCCGCCAGUCCCUGCUUCACCCAGGGCGUCUGCUCAAAGAGGUCGCUCAGGUCGAGUCCGUCAGCCUCAUCCUCAUCAUCAUCGCCCCAUCGCGGCGUGGUCGAGCUGCGGUCGACGGUGGAGGUGGAGAUGGGGCUGGCAGCGGCGGCGGGCUUGGUCGGGGCGGCGGGCUUGGUCGGAGCCGCGAGCUUGGGCACCUUGGGCAGGCCGGGCGGCUUCUGCAGGCGCCAGUGGUUGUCGUAGGCAUGGCAAAGCUGGCAGGGGGCGCUCCUGCAGCCAGCAGAUAGGCUGGCAUAGCACCAGCGGAUGCAGGACUUGUGGGGAAAGCAGCAGGCGCUGGGGCCGGGCUCCUGCUGCUCCUGCUGGUGGGCGGCGGCGGAGGGCUCGCUCUCAUCAGAGCCAUGGCCUUGGCUGCGGGGCGUGUGGCGCCAGGCGUCCUGUGCAAACGAGAUCGGGGGAAAGGAUAGAUGGGGGCGGACAAGCCGUGAGUGCACGGGACGAGGACAAGGGUCGGGGCGCAGAGGGCGGGAGCAAGGGCCGGGGGUCAGGGGCUCGAGCCCCGGCAAAAAAAUCAGGCACACACCGGAAAGGCACGCGCUUUCGGUCAAAGCUGUUGACCGACGCAUUUUACGAGACAAUACAUGCAGCAAUAUGCAGCCAGUGUGGCCGCAGCAGCGCAAGAAGGAAGGCCGAGGAAGCCGAGCGCACUACUGGCCCGAAAUCUGCAACGCUAUAUAGCCCGCAUCCGAAGCCUAAUGCUUUGCAUGUGGCAUCAGAUACCCAUUGCAGCUGCUCAAGGCUCAAAAUGGCCGUGCCCGAACAUGAAUGGUGCUCACCUGCAUCGGUCGGCUCGGCUCGAAGUCAAGCCCCGGUGCACUUGCAAUUGACCGUGAUGUGGCCAUAGUAGCUCUUGACCGCACCAAGCACUCUUCGCGCGCAGAACUCGAUUCUGCUGCUAGCGCAAUUCUUUCGCUUGAUGGAGUUUCCUCGCGGUGCCCGGGAGGGAUUCGCGCUAGAAGCUGCUAGUUCGUGAUAGUGGUGGUGCUUGCCGCAGCGUUCAUGCGCAUGCGGUGGAAAUCGAGAGAGGUCGCGAACAGCCCUAGAAAUGCUCUUCUUUGCCGUCGAUAAGCUCAGGUGCUCGUAGCUAAGCAGUGGGCGUAAAAGCUGUUUGCGAGAUGUCUUUGCAUCUGUUGAUUGUGCAAUAUGAGCACAGCGCGAGAAGCUUUUAUCCGGUGGCGGGGACAGGGUCUCGGGCGCCCAUGCAGGCGACACGCGCCCAAUCCCGAGCCUCCCUCCUCGCCUUUACCUUGUCCCUGGACCCGCGCCAUCCGUGUCCCGCUGUUCACUUCCCGCGUUUCAUACCAGUCCCCCUCCCCUGCGUAGGCCGGUAACCCCUGAUCCCGCCGCUGCCAGGGAUGCAGCUGUGCAGGAUGAGGUUGACGGCUGUGGAAGUUGGUGUGUGAUGGGACAGGGUUCAGGCAGGUUGGCGAGGUCCCAUAGGGUGCAGCUGACGCCCGUACCCCAAGCAGACAGCAAACAGUUUGCAGCGGCAGAGCAGGAGUGCAUGGCUGGUCGAACGCCGGAGUUACUGUACCGACAAGUUGCUGGCUGGCUGGAAGUUGGUGUAGGUUGGCGGUGAUCCAGCGGGGUGGGUGCCGAUGUGCUAUAGCGGGCGCGAGGCUGUACACGUCAGGACCUGGCGAGUGUACUGCUAAAGCUGGCUUUGUGAUGGCCCCCAAGCGUAGGUGAGGUAGGCGCACGGUGGUGACAAGGCAUGCGGCCAGUGGAACUGCCUUACAGUUACAGCCCGCCCAAGCGCGGUUGUUGCCCUGCCAUGAUUUCCGUGGAGUCUGCUAGGCAGUCGGCAGGGACGGUGCCCAUCAGUUCCCGAAGUGGACAAACCAUGCAUCCAGCCGCCCACACGUGCUCUCCGUUCGUCACAUACAGUACUCGAACUCCAAUGUCCACAGAGCGUGUGCGCGAAGUCCACACGCUACACACGCAAGUGGCAGCCGCCCGUCCUUGCACAGCAAGCAUCUCCGCGCACGGUCGCACGCUUCACUAGCCCCAACGAACCGCCUACCACAAAUCAAGUCACACCCACCUCAGCAUUAGGAGUGCACAUCCGCCUGUCGAAUGUCGGAUGAUGAUAGGGCAACAAGUAGGUCUAGAGAAAUGAAAGCUAGUAGGUCUACUGCACCCAUGCAUGGAUGGAAAGAAUCAAUGGACCUGUGGAUAUAGGAUCCGGCCUUCUCAAGGGUCCUCGCGCAUUUACUAAAGAGCCAAGAGGUCUAGUAUGUAAGAAUCAAUGCCAGUCUCAAGUCAAGCACACUGCUGCCGCUUCCUGGCAUCUGGAAUGCCGGAAGGGUCGGAGGAACUUGCACCCACAGAACGUACACGUCGUGUCACUGACAGCCCACUCGAGUCUUGUAAAC
Molecule: long non-coding RNA, 13054 nt
Filed under: Chlamydomonas reinhardtii
Lineage: Eukaryota; Viridiplantae; Chlorophyta; Chlorophyceae; Chlamydomonadales; Chlamydomonadaceae
Description: long non-coding RNA (CREI_LNC000725)
Source: RNAcentral